CCUAGUACGGCGAGUGAGAGGAAGAGCUCAAAGUUGGAACCUGUUUGGCCUAGCUAAACCGGANNNNAGACUGUAGAAGUGUUUUCCAGGCAAGCCGAGUAAAUAAGUCCUUUGGAACAGGGCAUCAUAGAGGGUGAGAAUCCCGUCUUUGGCUUGAGCAUUUGCCUUUUGUGAUACGCUUUCAAAGAGUCAGGUUGUUUGGGAAUGCAGCCUAAAUUGGGUGGUAAAUCUCACCUAAAGCUAAAUAUUGGCGAGAAACCGAUAGCGAACAAGUACCGUGAGGGAAAGAUGAAAAGAACUUUGAAAAGAGAGUUAAACAGUAUGUGAAAUUGUUAAAAGGGAACCGUUUGGAGCCAGACUGGCUUGUCUGUAAUCAAUCUAGGCUUCGGCCUGGAUGCACUUGCAGGCUAUGCCUGCCAACGACAAUUUGACUUGAGGGAAAAAACUAAGGGAAAUGUGGCCCACUUGUGGGUGUUAUAGUCCCUUAGAAAAUACCUUGGGUUGGAUUGAGGAACGCAGCGAAUGCUUUUUGGCGAGUUUUCCAGGAAGGUUUUCUGAGGUACUACGGUAUCAAGGUUGAUCUUUUUGGUUAUACUUCUAUUCGCUUAGGUUGUUGGCUU
This 620-nucleotide ribosomal RNA is filed under the name Rhizopus delemar. RNAcentral describes it as "partial large subunit ribosomal RNA". It matches the Rfam family "Eukaryotic large subunit ribosomal RNA", at positions 79 to 632 of the family's 3401-position model. Lineage: Eukaryota; Fungi; Mucoromycota; Mucoromycetes; Mucorales; Rhizopodaceae. The record is from RNAcentral.